Oreochromis aureus is the source of this 57-nucleotide microRNA precursor. The record is from Ensembl. NCBI's taxonomy places the organism in Eukaryota, Metazoa, Chordata, Actinopteri, Cichliformes, Cichlidae.
AUGUACCCCCUUGUUCCUGACAAGGUUUUUGUCAGUCUGGAACAAGGGUGUAUAUCA